Molecule: long non-coding RNA, 2913 nt
Organism: Triticum dicoccoides
Lineage: Eukaryota; Viridiplantae; Streptophyta; Magnoliopsida; Poales; Poaceae
Exons: 9
Source: RefSeq, a predicted model, not a curated record
CACGCCCUGCCCUCCCAAUUACGAUACCACACCAACCUCCAUCGAACCAGCUCGUCUUCUUCCUCUCCUCCAUUUCCUCUCCUCCCCUGGAGCACCAGAAAGGAUCUCCAUUUCUUCGAUCUCCUUCGGCUCCGCGCCAUCCAUGCCACCCUAGGCCAGGGCAGCAGAUCAACCUCCACAAACAAGGUAAUUUAGCAAUAGCAAGAUGUACCAACUAGCAAGCGGUCAUGAAGUUCCAUCCGUUCUGGACAAAGAGAAUCUCAGCGAUGCCUCUCCUAAUGAACUUGGCAGUGAUGUGGACUGUUUUGGUGGAUCAAGUGGCCCUCCCGGCAGUCCUGCGAUUACAUCUAGGCUUUCUCUGUUGAAAUUAGGUUCAGUCAUAGCUAAGUUUUCUGAUUUCAAGAAAAAGCUCGUAAGGGAAAUUGGGUUUGAUGGCUUGCUCCAGAUAAAAUCAUGGCAGAAGAUAAAUCUGAAGUACAGUUCUUAUCUGAUGGAUAGGGUUCAUGUGGAUAGUAGUACAAUCAACUUGGAGGGUUAGGGCAUGCUUACGCUAUCUGACAAAGAAGUACAAUACGUUUUUGGUAUCCCUUGCGGUGAGAAAACAAUAAGUUCAUAAGGCAUUGAACCGUCUGAAGCAUGUAUUGAGUAUUCAAGAUUUGCAACUAGCUUUGGUGACAAAGGUACACACAGCCUCAAGGCAGCAGCGGCAUAUCUGAUCCGCGACAUCACCGUUGAAUCUAGGAAGAUAGAAGUUGACUGCUUCAAGAUUGCAUUUGUCAUUUUCGCCAUAGGUCAUGUACUGGCACCUUCAACAAAGCAUGACUACACUACAAUUGAUUUCUGGGCAGCAAUUAAUGAUGUAUCUAAAAUCAGAGAUUGGAACUGGUGUGGUUACCUUCUGAAGCAACUUUUUCAAGCUGCCAGGAAGUUUAAGACAGAUGUAACAAGGCGCACCCCCACCAUUCACAUUGUUGGAUGCCACUUCUUCCUGCAGGUCUGAUAAAAUCUUAAUACCAGCAAGGAAAUGGUAUGCGCCACGGACAAUGAUCUGAACCAAAACAAGUCAAGGGAAUCACCCAACACAACAAGAGUUCAGACUCCAUCUACGCCUAUCCUCAGAGCCGAUUAUGGCAAGGUUGGUCCACUGGAAUUUUCAAAACAUCUGUGUACCAAGUACCCAUCUGUUUUGGGCGAGAAGCUUGGUAUACUUCUUAGAGAGCACAAUGCGCGUGGGCUGGCUUGCAUAUCAGAAAUGAGGGAAUCUUUCCAAAACUCGACGUUUGGUUUCGCAGAUAAAAUGUUAGGUGUGUAGCCGAAAACUGUACAUGUUGCAAGGAGAAUGGUCGGAAACAGUGCAUUCUGAAGAGCGAGGAACCGAACAACGCCAACAUUAGCAAUUUGUCACCAGAGAAGAUGAAUGUUUGUCACCCCAAUUGCCAAUAGGAUAGUAGCAAGGUUGUCUGCGCCAGUCGAUAAUGAAGGUACCUCAUCAGCAAAUAGCUCAAUUGCCCAUAAAAGGGCUGCCGCACCCAACUCAAGCAACGAGCAAGACACAUCAAAGAAAAUCUGUGUUCGCCAGGACAUGCCUCUUUAGAUGGUUUCUCCAUCGGUCAUUGACACUGCCAACAACUCAUCUUUGUCAGCCAAGAAAGAAGCUCGCAAUGAGGUUGCCAACUUGGUUUACAACUUCUUUGAUGAUCUUACAACUGUCAUUGCUACAUACUACGCUGAGCUCUGCCCAAGGGCUGAUUAUGUCACGUUUGGCACUACAAACGACAUUGUCCCAACAAAAAUGCGAUUGCCAAAGUGUAAUUUAGCACGCGACUCUUGGGAAAUUGGAUCUGUACCACUCCCACCAUCACCAACAGUUCUGAAAGCUAUCAAGGAUUGGUUAUCUGCUGCAUCGCCCUUGCUGCUAGAGAGGAAAUGGAUUGUGCACCCACAUCCAAGGCUAGUAUCAGUUGAUGGAACAGAAAUCCAGCAACAACUAGCAGGAAGCGAACAUCUUGGCCAUGAGAUGGCAUCAGUAAUUUAUAGAUGCCUCCAUCAGAUGGAUAUAUUGUUCUCUAAAGAUAGCGCAGGGAUGAUAUGGAGGAAAUUCAUGGAACCUAAGUUUCUCAUAAGUCCAACGUUAACUAGCAUUUUCUACAUCAUUUCCUUGAACUAUUGAUUACUAAAUUCUCCAUCACAUGCCUUAACCAAAAAAUGCCAUUGUUUUGCAGACAACAGUGUUGUCGAACGUUGACCCCUUAACAAUAUAAUCUAUCCGCACUAGCUUCACCGGUGCACUUGAUAAUUGGAACCCUGCCUCAACGAGAGUGUGGCACAUACCAGCCAUCUUGCCCGAUGGAUGGGCCGUCUACUCAUUUGAUAUGCUGAAAAAGAGGAUAUUUGUUCUUGAUCCAGCCAUGUGAGACCAUUUGGCUUUAGCAAUCGCAGGGUAAACAUGCAUACAUAUGUGUCAAACCUUCUGCACUCCGCCCUCUUCAGAUGCCUGCAGUGCCUCUAUGAGUCGUGGCAUUGCAGUUGUGGAGAAUGGACCAGGUCAUUUCUAAUGCUCAUGGCGGAGAAGGUUGAUAAGGAGGAUUAUGGCAUAUGUGCGACAUUUCUUGCUAGGAAUUUCAACGGCGAAAAGCUGCAAAUCCCUUUGACCAAGGCCAACCUGGACAUGCACAAGAACCUCACGCUGUACGAGGUCAUGCGUCUCAAAGGCAAUGAGUCUCUAAUCCCACAUGAUGCCAUUGAAGCUAUCAAGGGCUCUUUCAUUGUCAUUUGAAUUAUUUGUAUGCAUAUAUAUUUUCUAUGUAUGGGGAACCCGAAACAAACAAUGAUGCAUCUCAUGUUGUAAAUAGGCAUUUUGUAUCAGACUAUUUUUCUUAAACACAAUGCAAGACCCUUCAAUCAUUCACAUAA